This 73-nucleotide transfer RNA is filed under the name Camelus bactrianus (Bactrian camel). It matches the Rfam family "tRNA". Rfam says of the family: Transfer RNA (tRNA) molecules are approximately 80 nucleotides in length. Their secondary structure includes four short double-helical elements and three loops (D, anti-codon, and T loops). Further hydrogen bonds mediate the characteristic L-shaped molecular structure. tRNAs have two regions of fundamental functional importance: the anti-codon, which is responsible for specific mRNA codon recognition, and the 3' end, to which the tRNAs corresponding amino acid is attached (by aminoacyl-tRNA synthetases). tRNAs cope with the degeneracy of the genetic code in two manners: having more than one tRNA (with a specific anti-codon) for a particular amino acid; and 'wobble' base-pairing, i.e. permitting non-standard base-pairing at the 3rd anti-codon position. RNAcentral also lists the same sequence under 1 other name. Lineage: Eukaryota; Metazoa; Chordata; Mammalia; Artiodactyla; Camelidae. The record is from Rfam by way of RNAcentral.
AAAGGUAUAGUUCAAGCAGGAGAGCGCAUGCUUAGCAUGCAUGAGGUCCUGGGUUCAAUCCCCAGUACUUCCU